UACGUAGGGUGCGAGCGUUAAUCGGAAUUACUGGGCGUAAAGCGUGCGCAGGCGGUUUUGUAAGCCCGAUGUGAAAUCCCCGGGCUUAACCUGGGAAUGGCAUUUGGGACUGCAAGGCUUGAGUGCGGCAGAGGAGACUGGAAUUCCCGGUGUAGCAGUGAAAUGCGUAGAUAUCGGGAGGAAUACCGAUGGCGAAGGCAGGUCUCUGGGCUGACACUGACGCUCAUGCACGAAAGCGUGGGGAGCAAACAGG
This 253-nucleotide ribosomal RNA is filed under the name uncultured bacterium. RNAcentral describes it as "partial 16S ribosomal RNA". It matches the Rfam family "Bacterial small subunit ribosomal RNA", at positions 524 to 776 of the family's 1533-position model. The record is from RNAcentral.